CUGAAUUUCAUUCAGCCCGUUACCAUCCUUAUCAUUGUCAUUAUUAUUCUUUAGCUAUUGAGGGCAAGAAAUUAUGUACAAAAAUCCAGAGGCUUCUACACUUUUCUAGAGCAGGUGAUGAGCUCCCAAGCUUCACCAAAGGAGGCUGUGUUUUCACCAAGUACCACAAAGCACCAAGGCUGAAGCUGGAAUGGCACUUUUCCAAUACCCUUACCAAAAAUAACUUGAGCUUUGGCCCCACUGCCUGCUGCUCUCAGUGUGAGUGUCACAGAAACAUAUGCGGCCUUUCCUCUGGAAAGGUGAGACAGUGCUCAUGAAAAUGACUUGGCUAUCACCAACAAGGGAGGUGAUUUGUUCUACAGCCAGCUCUCCCCUCUACCGGUCCUCAGCCAGUGAAAGAAGAAUGACUUGGAAGAUGACAUCAAAUCAGGUUCAAGCCAAUUUGGCCAACAGACCAGAUUGGAAUAUCGAUUUAGCACUCAGAUAGGAAAGCCAGCCUUUUGCCAGGAUGGCCAAAAUACCAUCUGUAGCGAAUGAAAUCUGAUUGCUUUGCACAAAGUCUUCUGGAUCCCAGUUUUUGGACAAGGUCUGUGAGGGUGAAAAUGCAUCCAGAAGCCAGACUCUCCUUAAAUCAUCCUCAUUCUUGAGACAAUGAGGAAAAGGGAAGAAAAAGUCCACCUACAAAUGACAAAUGAUCAACACAGCUUGCUUGCUAAGUGAAGCUGACUAAUCUAUUACCUCUGAAAUGAUUUCAAGGUGUUACAGAAUGAGCUUGCCUAUAUUUCACAUUUGCGGGGACAUAAGGCAAUAAAUUCUAAGCAUGCUUCGUUGCCCUGUAAUAAGUUACUCACAUCAUCUUCACACUAGUUGAUUACUGAUCAAAUCGUUAGGUGACCAUGAUUGAGACUGCAAGCAUAUUUUUGCCAAAGGAUAUGCAUCGCAAAAUGUUUUCACAGUAGAAAGACUCAAGGAAAUACACAGUUGGAAGUUCCUGAACUCUGAUGUCGGUGGAAUAACACUUGAUUUAUUCAAUCACAGCACAUUAUUUGCAACCUGUGUAAUUUGCAUGUCAUACAUUUCUACAGAAUCCGAGAACAUUCAUGUUUUAUCUAAUUUAUCUCCAUAAUUUCCCUGGCUGGUGAAAAGAAAGUGCUGAUUGGCAAACCUGACCCAAGUUAUCAUGUUUUGCAAAUAAGGACCUCACUGCACAAAAAGGUGGAUUAGUUUGUCCCAGGACAUUCGCACACAAAAUCUAAAUUAUCUACACUAUAUUGAUUUUCUCCUUCACCGUUACAUCUUAAAGACCCUGAAGUGGAAAAUGAAGGCACACCUAUUGGUGGUGGGUGGUAAUUGCCAAGUAAUCCUUCUCCCUUCGUGCUGCAUGGCAACCCUUCGCUCAGAAAUUUCUUAACAGUGCAGAGCAACACAACACACACAGUUUCUCAUUAUCCAUGUGCCCCUAUCUGUGCUAGCACCUGGGAGGUUAACAGAUGAAUGUGUCAAACUGCAGCUCUCCAGAGCCUCUUCUCAUGAUGGGAGGGAUAUAGUUAGACAUAUCAAGAUACAGCUAAAUAUGUAAAAAUGUUGGCACUGUCUUACACACUAUUUCUUCAUUUAUUUAACAAAAAUAAAAACAAAAACCGAUGAAUAAAAAGUUAGCGGAACCAAUCUCCUCUUUUCUAAUUCUAAACCCUCAAGCAUUAAUGUGAUCAAAUUGAUGUGGAAACUUCUUCUACCUUUUUCGGUGCUUGUGCAAACUUAUACAAACCUGUGUUGACUUUUAAAAUUUUCUCAAUGGAAUCAUACUAUAUAAAGCGCACUGAAAGUAGCUUUUUUUUUCUGUAGUAAUAUCAUGGACAUUCUUCUAAGCAUAUAUGGAGAAAAUUAACUUGUUGUUUUUCAAUUUCAUUUUAUUCAUUUUUUUUUUUUUUAUUUUGUGGGGGGCAAGGUCUCACUCUGUUGCCGAGGCUGAAGUGCAGUGGCACAAUCACUGCUCACUGAAACCUCGACCUCCUAGGCUCAAAUGAUCCUCCUACCUCAGCCUCCCAAGUAGCCAGGAUGAGAGGCACAUACCACUAUGCCCACAGAGUUUUUUAGUUUUUGUAGAGAUUUGGCGGUGGGCGUGUCUCUCUAUGUUGCUCACAUUGGUCUUGAACUCCCGAGUUCAAGUGAUCCUCCCCACACAGCCUCCUAAAGUGCUGGGAAUACUGGUGUUAGCCACUGUGCCUGGCUGAAAACUAACUUUGUAGAUAGUUGCAUACUAUUCUGUAUUACAGGUAUGCUAUGGUUAAUUCAACAAUCCCAUAAUUAGUGGACAUUAAAGUUAUUUUUUGUGUUUUUCCCCAGUGAUCUAUGUCUUCUCCUCUUCAUCCUCCUCCUCCUCCUCCCUCUUCUUUUCUUUAUACCUCCAAAGGUACAAGAAAACAUUUGUACUUAUAUUUCCACUUAAGGAUUUUCUCAUUUCUGUCAAAAAGAUUCACAAAAGUGAGAUUACUGGGAC
Long non-coding RNA from Macaca mulatta (Rhesus monkey), 2500 nucleotides. The record is from Ensembl. NCBI's taxonomy places the organism in Eukaryota, Metazoa, Chordata, Mammalia, Primates, Cercopithecidae.